AGCAGCCGCCGCGGGAAUACGGAGGAUCCAAGCGUUAUCCGGAAUCAUUGGGUUUAAAGGGUCCGUAGGCGGUCUUGUAAGUCAGUGGUGAAAGCCCAUCGCUCAACGGUGGAACGGCCAUUGAUACUGCAGGACUUGAAUUAUUGGGAAGUAACUAGAAUAUGUAGUGUAGCGGUGAAAUGCUUAGAGAUUACAUGGAAUACCAAUUGCGAAGGCAGGUUACUACCAAUUGAUUGACGCUGAUGGACGAAAGCGUGGGUAGCGAACAGGAUUAGAUACCCGUGUAGUCCCUGUCUCUUAUAC
Molecule: ribosomal RNA, 303 nt
Filed under: uncultured bacterium
Lineage: Bacteria
Description: partial 16S ribosomal RNA
Rfam family: Bacterial small subunit ribosomal RNA
Source: RNAcentral